This is a long non-coding RNA of Acanthochromis polyacanthus (spiny chromis), 361 nucleotides long. RefSeq lists it as uncharacterized. Lineage: Eukaryota; Metazoa; Chordata; Actinopteri; Pomacentridae. The transcript is spliced from 2 exons. The record is from RefSeq and is a predicted model, not a curated record.
ACACUGAGCUCUGUUCCUGAUCACCUGAGCAGAACUGCUCCUCUCCUCUAACAAACACAACAGAGUCACGCCCUCCACCUCUGGCUCCAGGUAGCAGCAGGUUUCUCCCUUCCCCCUCCCUUCCUCUCUCUCCUCAGGUGGGUGUGGAGCUAGUUAGUAGACAGGUGCUGCUAAUCCAGUCAGCAGGAAUCCCAUAAACACAGACUGCAGACGACUCAGUGUUGGACUGUUCAACAGUCACAAUGCUGCUGGAACCUGUGAACUUCCUCAUGGGGAGGAAUAAAGUAUCUCAUCUCAUCUAAACUUCAAAUAAUCUGUGAUAGUUGUGUUUUCUUUUCAAAAUAAAAUCUUUUAAAACAGA